UUGCUUUGGCAGCACGUAUACCAAAAUUGGAAAAAUACAGAGAUGAUUAGCAUGGCCUCUGUGCAAGGAUGACACGUAAAUUCGUGAAGCAUUCCAUCUAUUU
Molecule: small nuclear RNA, 103 nt
Organism: Piliocolobus tephrosceles (Ugandan red Colobus)
Lineage: Eukaryota; Metazoa; Chordata; Mammalia; Primates; Cercopithecidae
Source: RefSeq, a predicted model, not a curated record